GCGAGGAUAGCUUAGUUGGAACAGUGUCAGACUAAAGAUCUGAAGGUCACGUGUUUGAUCCAUGCUCACUGCA
RNAcentral lists this transfer RNA (73 nucleotides) under Vitis vinifera (wine grape). It matches the Rfam family "tRNA". Rfam says of the family: Transfer RNA (tRNA) molecules are approximately 80 nucleotides in length. Their secondary structure includes four short double-helical elements and three loops (D, anti-codon, and T loops). Further hydrogen bonds mediate the characteristic L-shaped molecular structure. tRNAs have two regions of fundamental functional importance: the anti-codon, which is responsible for specific mRNA codon recognition, and the 3' end, to which the tRNAs corresponding amino acid is attached (by aminoacyl-tRNA synthetases). tRNAs cope with the degeneracy of the genetic code in two manners: having more than one tRNA (with a specific anti-codon) for a particular amino acid; and 'wobble' base-pairing, i.e. permitting non-standard base-pairing at the 3rd anti-codon position. Lineage: Eukaryota; Viridiplantae; Streptophyta; Magnoliopsida; Vitales; Vitaceae. The record is from Rfam by way of RNAcentral.